UUUUUUUUUGAAGGAUUAUUUCCUAAAUUCCACAGCAACGUUUUUCUUUUUUUUAAUUUACCGUAAAGCGUACAUUUUUGGGGUACAAAAUCUGUCUGAAUCCACAAGAGAACGCUUAUCCGAUUACAGUCACAUGUUUUAAUUUCAAUUUUGCUACGUCACAGGAGGGCUCGUCUCCAUUUCAGGGUCAGUGACCUCUAACGUCGCAUGUAAGCUGCCCUUAAAAAAGAUGCUUGCUAAGAGGAUCUCCCCGACCUCCUUCUCUGCUAAUCUCAUCUCAAAGUGUUCAUUUACACGCUUCGCCACGGAUACAUUCACACGCCGCCACGUCCUACAGAAAACAAGAACACGUUCAAACACUUUCUACUCAUUUUGUUGGCGCGCGAACUGGAUGGCAUCCGGGUGAAUUUUCGCUUAGUCACCCGGUCCGACUCAAGCUCGUAGCAGUCGGCCUUCUACUAAUUUCAUCCAGCAAAUCAAAGUGAUAUGUGCAACGUCAUGUGCAGGUUUGUGCGCACAAACACACACAAGUGCAAAGUAAGCAGUAGGAUAGGUUGAGUGAUUUUUUUUUUUGUUUUGUUUUGUUUUUGCACAAACUACAGUACAACAAACAUAAUGAUUAGAUUUUGUCAUGAAAGCAGACAUAAUUUACAAUGGCCAAAUUUGCAUUCGGGGCAAUCUGGGCAGUGCCCCAGCGGCGACAAGUGACCGUUUUAGUUUAGGAUAAUGUGCCUGCUAGCUAGUUACGUUUUUAUUGUGCCUCCAAUAAUUUUUCAAAAACUACAAACCCAGCAAAAUCUGGUCCUGGUGCUGUCGUUAACGCUUGCGUUCCAUUGUGUGUAUGCCGAGGUUGUCCGUCCAUCUUGUUUAUCUGAAGAGACGACUGGCGGGCUUGCAGUGCAGCGUCAGUUGGCGGGAGCUGUAGCCGGACACGCCCACCCCCAUGAAUCCCAGCAGGAACGCCAGGCGGGGCAUCAUGGGACCAUCCCGGCUCUGCAGGACAGUCUGGGCCGCCUGGGUCUGAAAGAGAGAGCAGUGUGUGAUGUUUUGAAAGAGACCUCACGAUUGCCCGACUUGGAUGCCAACAGCCAUGAUGAAGAGAAAAGUCGACGCUGCUCCCGUUCUGGCUGCAAAGCGGCACCGUGAUGAUAGCAGCUCAGAUGAAGAGUCCAGAUUGUCGAGACAAGACUCCAGCCAGAAUGAGUCGCUCAGCGACCAGGAAGAGCCCCGAGCGGGGUUCUCCAUGCCGUCCAUAUCGGUCCACGCCAAGGACGCAGACUCGCCCCCGCAGGGCUCCAAAUUCUCCAUGUACAACAGCGUGUCGCAAAAGCUCAUGGCCAAAAUGGGCUUCCGCGAGGGCGAGGGUCUGGGCAAGUUCGGCCAGGGCCGUAAGGAGAUUGUGGAGGCGUCGACCCAGCGAGGGAGGCGUGGUCUCGGCCUCACGCUGCAGGGCUUCCAGGGGGAGCUCAAUGUCGACUGGCGGGAUGAACCCGAGCCCAGCGCUACAGAGAAAGUGGACUGGUUCCCAGAAUGCACCACAGAAAUUCCUGAUGCAGAUGAGUUGAGGGACUGGAUGGCAGUGGGGCCAAGAAAACUGAAGAUUGAAGACGAAACGGAGUUUUGCACCGAAGACCUCCUGCACACGCUCCUCAGGUGCAAGACGGUGUUUGACGACCUGGACGGCGAGGAGAUGAGGAGAGCGCGCACUCGUUCCAACCCUUACGAGACCAUCCGAGGAGGAAUCUUCCUCAACAGAGCAGCGAUGAAAAUGGCCAACAUCGACCACUGCUUCGACCGCAUGUUCACCGAACCCAAAGCUUCCGACGGGAAGCCUCUGACCCAUGACAACGGCAACGAGCUUUUGUACUUCGGCGACGUGUGCGCCGGGCCCGGCGGCUUUUCCGAGUACAUCCUGUGGAGGAGACGCUGGCACGCCAAAGGCUUCGGCAUGACGCUGAAGGGGCCGUGCGACUUCAAAUUGGAGGAUUUCUACGCCGCGCCCAGCGAGCUGUUUGAGCCUUACUAUGGUGAAGGAGGCGUGGACGGCGAUGGCGACAUCACCCGGCCGGAGAAUGUGACGGCCUUCCGGAACUUUGUGCUGGACAGCACCGAGGGGAGGGGGCUGCACUUCCUCAUGGCGGACGGGGGUUUCUCCGUGGAAGGCCAGGAGAACCUUCAGGAGAUUCUGACCAAGCAGCUGCUGCUCUGCCAGUUCCUCGCCGCUCUCUCGACACUCAGGACAGGCGGCCAUUUUGUCUGCAAGACCUUUGACCUCUUCACUCCUUUCAGCGUGGGUUUGGUCUACCUCCUGUACCUCUGCUUCGACCGCGUCACACUCUUCAAACCCGUGACCAGUCGGCCCGCCAACUCCGAGAGGUACGUGGUGUGCCGAGGUUUAAAGCCGGGCUCGGAGGCCGUCAGGGAGUACAUGUUCCGAGUCAAUCUGAAACUCAAACAGCUGCGAGACACCGACAUGGACGUGACGGACGUGGUUCCCCUCAGCAUCAUCAAAGAGGACGUCGACUUCUUCCACUUCAUGGUCAACUGCAAUGAGAGCCUCUGCGCCGUCCAGAUCAAAGCCCUGGCGAAGAUCCACGCCUUCGUUUUAGACUCGACGCUCGCCGAGUCCAGGCAAGCCGACAUACGCAAGCAAUGUCUCAGUCUGUGGGGGGUGCCCGACAAGGCCAGGGUCACGCCGGCGUCCUCGGACCCGUGGUCCAAAUUUUACGAACUGGUCAAGAAUCCUGACGUGGAGUCGUUCAAAAGCAACCUCACGCCGCUCAACUCCGGCACACUUGAAAAGCUGCGUCACGUCCUGGACCACCGUUGCAUCGUGGGAGGCAGGGAGCAGAUCUUCCUUUUAACGCUGGGCAAGUCUCAGAUUUACACGUGGGACGGAAAGAUGCCGCUCCGCUGGCAGAAGCUGGAGAGCUUCAAGCUGGAGCUCCCGAGAGACUCCCUGCUGAGUGUGGAAAUCGUGCAGGAGCUGAAGGGCGAGGGCAAAGCGCAGCGGCGAAUCAACGCGGUGCACGUGAUGGACGCGCUCAUUCUGAAUGGCACCGAUGUCCGAGAUCAACACUUCAACAAGCGGAUCGAGAUGGCCGAGAAGUUUGUGAAGGCGGUGGCCAAGCCCAGCAGACCGGACAUGAACCCCAUCAGGGUGAAGGAAGUUUACAGGCUGGAGGAAAUGGAGAAGAUUUUUGUACGAUUGGAAAUGAAGGUGACUAAGAGUUCCGGCGGAGUCCCCCGUCUGUCUUACACCGGCCGAGAUGACCGACACUUCCUUCCCACCGGGCUCUACAUCAUCAAGACCACCAACGAGCCAUGGAUGAUGGCCUACAGUAAAAACUCAAACAGGAAGUACUUUUAUAACAAGGCCACCAAGGAGUCCUCCUAUGACACACCAGUCGACGCCGCGUCCCCCUUCCACACGUGCCACGCAGAGCGUCUCUUCUGGGCGUGGGAGGACGGCGUCAUCGUGCACGACUCUCAGACGCGCGUGGACCAUGACAAGCUGUCCAAAGAUGACGUGCUCGCAUUCAUUCACCACAAGCACCAGCUGUGACCCGUCGCUCGGUGGCAGGACCUUGGGGAAACACUUUAGGGACUUUUCUUUUUUUUUUUUUUUUUUAAAUAAUGCAAAUAUACAGUAUCACUUUCUCAAGCAGCCAUUUCAGUUGGUAUAAAGUCCUCCAAGGACCAGACUAAAUGCAUGAUGAAAAACGUCACAACUUUCAACCACAAGGGCGAGCCGUACGAGUUUAACGACUUCCAAGUUUCUCAACCUAAGAGCUGUGUCCAAUUAUGGAGCACUUGUAGGCAACAUAUUUUGAGCUUGUGAUAACAUUUGCUUGAACACAGGGUGGCUUGUCCCUCAGUCAGUAGAGUGGCUCAUCCGGUGAGCGACGGUUCGAAUUCCAACGAUCUGCCCUCAGGGUCCUUGAGCAAGACAACACGAAAUUGUUCCCAGUUUUCCCAACCCCAAGUUUCCCUGUCAACACAAUUUCAGGAACUGUUUGGUAUUCAUUGUUGUGACAUCUGGUCAUUUUUUACAUAAGAGAGCUGAAGAACCACCGCAAAGAUGUCAUGCUACGAUUUGUCUAUUUUUCACUUUUUUUUUUCCCCAUCACGUCAGCGCUGACAAUAAUCAGG
RNA transcript from Hippocampus comes (tiger tail seahorse), 4152 nucleotides. It is a transcript of the gene named cap methyltransferase 1, with no coding region annotated. The record is from RefSeq and is a predicted model, not a curated record. The transcript is spliced from 27 exons. NCBI's taxonomy places the organism in Eukaryota, Metazoa, Chordata, Actinopteri, Syngnathiformes, Syngnathidae.